RNAcentral lists this ribosomal RNA (468 nucleotides) under uncultured bacterium. RNAcentral's name for it is "partial 16S ribosomal RNA". It matches the Rfam family "Bacterial small subunit ribosomal RNA", at positions 28 to 507 of the family's 1533-position model. The record is from RNAcentral.
GACGAACGCUGGCGGCGUGCUUAACACAUGCAAGUCGAACGGAAAGGCCCUGCUUUUGUGGGGUGCACGAGUGGCGAACGCGCGAGUAACACGUGAGUAACCUGCCCUUGACUUUGGGAUAACUUCAGGAAACUGGGGCUAAUACCGGAUAGGAGCUCCUGCUGCAUGGUGGGGGUUGGAAAGUUUAGGCGGUUGGGGAUGAACUCGAGGCUUAUCCGCUUGUGGGUCGGGUAGAGGCUUACCAAGGCAUUGACGGAUAGGCGGACUGAGAGCGUGCCCAGCCGCAUCGGUACUAGGUUUAGGCACAGACUCGUACGGGAGACAGCCGCCGGGAAUAGUACACAACGGGAGGAAGCCUGAUGCAGAAGCGCCGCGUGUGGGUUGACGUGCUUCUGGUUCAAAACCCCAUUCACCUGGGAUGAAGCGAGAGUGACGGUAAUUAGUAGAGAAGCACCUGCUAACUACGUG